UGCCUCCUUUUCUUCUUUUACUAUGGAAAUCAAAAUAAAAUUAGAAAAUUUGGACAGCAUAAGGAGUAGAUGGCUGGUGGUUGCUUAAAGCCUAUCCAAAGGAGGAGAGAUUCUAUAUCAAAUAGAAAGAAUGAUAUAUAGAAUAAAAUUAUGGGAAAAAUACCACCUUAACCCUAGCCCUAUCCCUAUUUAAGGAUCCUAAAACACCAGCAAGAGGAGGAGGAGAAUCAUCUUUGAAAGCUAGAAAUCAAGCAAGGAGAGUUUGGAGUAUUUGGA
Molecule: long non-coding RNA, 276 nt
Filed under: Elaeis guineensis (African oil palm)
Lineage: Eukaryota; Viridiplantae; Streptophyta; Magnoliopsida; Arecales; Arecaceae
Description: long non-coding RNA (EGUI_LNC067219)
Source: RNAcentral